Molecule: ribosomal RNA, 1758 nt
Filed under: Triticum aestivum (bread wheat)
Lineage: Eukaryota; Viridiplantae; Streptophyta; Magnoliopsida; Poales; Poaceae
Description: partial small subunit ribosomal RNA
Source: RNAcentral
CACCCCCACCCCCACCCAUCGCACCAAAUUCCUAUCUAGGGUUUGGUUCCCCCGUCCGGUCUCUCUCGAUCAGCCAUGGAUAAGGGCCUCUUCGCCAACGACGGCUCCUUCAUGGAGAGAUUCAAGCAGAUGCAGCAGGAGAUGCAGGACAAGGAGAAGCCCGCAGCCCCCGCCACCACCGCUGGUGCUGUCUCCUCUGCGCCGGCCAAGCCUGUCAACCCUAAGACGCCCCUUGUCAUUGCGGCAAACAAGAGGCCGCUCGAGGUGAAGAAGGCUGGCUCGGUUUUGUCGGGCGGGAAGCUGGCCUUUAGCCUCAAGAAGAACAAGAUCCCCAUUGUGCCUGUCAAGUUUGGAGCCGAGGAGGACGACGACGAUGACGUUGCCGGUGUGGAGAGGGGGGAUCAUGCGAAGCGGCACAAAUCCAUUGAUGCUCACUCAGCUGCUGCCCCAGCUAGGGUUGUUGCCUCAGCACCACCAAAUGAUAUGACAGUGAGGCAGGUUGCUGACAAAUUAGCAAGCUUUGUUGCCAAAAAUGGGAGACAGUUUGAGGAUAUUACACGCCAGAAGAAUCCUGGAGAUUCACCAUUCAAGUUUCUGUUUGAUAAAAACUGUUCAGACUACAAAUAUUAUGAGACUCGGCUUGCUGAAGAGGAAAAGGUGCAUGCUCAGACAAAGGAUGCUCAGGCUUCAAAAAUUGUUAAUUCAAGCACUGCAAGCUCCAUAGCACAUACUGGUGCACACAGAAGCUCAUUUGAACAAAGAUCUAACUAUCAAACGCCUGCUUCCGCUUUAUAUGGUGCAUAUGAAGGUAGUUCUUCCCAGGGAAGCUCAUCUGGUCAUGGUGGUCAAAGUAUGUCUGCACCCUCAGAUCCAGUAGCAUUGAUGGAAUUCUACAUGAAGAAAGCUGCACAGGAAGAACGGAAGAGACCACCAAGGCAGUCAAAAGACGAAAUGCCACCACCUCCAUGCCUUAUUCAGGGUCCUCCUAAGAAGGGACACCACAUGGGGGACUUCAUUCCUCAAGAAGAACUCGAGAAGUUCAUGGCACGCUGUAAUGAUGCUGCAGCACAAAAGGCUACCAAAGAAGCUGCAGAGAAGGCUAAGAUUCAGGCCGAUAAUAUUGGGCACAAGCUUCUCUCUAAGAUGGGCUGGAGGGAAGGUGAGGGUCUUGGCAGCGAGAGAAGUGGCCGUGCAGAUCCCAUUAUGGCUGGAGAUGUGAAGCAGGACCACCUUGGUGUUGGUGCUAUCCAACCUGGUGAGGUGUCAUCUGAAGAUGACAUCUACGAGCAAUACAAGAAGCGAAUGAUGCUAGGCUACCGCCAUAGGCCAAACCCACUGAACAACCCAAGGAAACAAUACUACUGAUACAAGGGGAGGUCAGCUGGGGGGAGACGUAAGAAACCAAUUUUGCUGCACUGUUUUGCUCACAGAACUAACUGCUGCUUUGGGAAAUGACUAACAGUAUUGAAAGCUUUGUUCAUCAGCAAGAAGCCCAGAGGUUGAUUUAUUCAGCAAGUAACUUGGAAUGCCACAGCUUUGGGGCUUCCUGGGGUUCUGCAGUAGCUUUGCUGUUUUAGUGUUUGUUUAAGUACUACUACGAAUGUGUCCUACGGUGGUGUUUUAUGCCAAAGUUGAUGUUUCAAAUGGUGAUGUAUUUCUACCUCUGUUGGUGGACAAUGUAACUUUGUGAUUAUGGAUUUUCUGCUGGGACUUCCUUCAGUUGAUUAUACUGCUUCUUAUUUUGGCCAGUGCAAAGCG